RNAcentral lists this ribosomal RNA (2905 nucleotides) under Salmonella enterica subsp. enterica. Its description in RNAcentral is "23S ribosomal RNA". It matches the Rfam family "Bacterial large subunit ribosomal RNA". The record is from RNAcentral. Lineage: Bacteria; Pseudomonadati; Pseudomonadota; Gammaproteobacteria; Enterobacterales; Enterobacteriaceae.
GGUUAAGCGACUAAGCGUACACGGUGGAUGCCCUGGCAGUCAGAGGCGAUGAAGGGCGUGCUAAUCUGCGAUAAGCGCCGGUAAGGUGAUAUGAACCGUUAUAACCGGCGAUACCCGAAUGGGGAAACCCAGUGUGACUCGUCACACUAUCAUUAACUGAAUCCAUAGGUUAAUGAGGCGAACCGGGGGAACUGAAACAUCUAAGUACCCCGAGGAAAAGAAAUCAACCGAGAUUCCCCCAGUAGCGGCGAGCGAACGGGGAGGAGCCCAGAGCCUGAAUCAGCAUGUGUGUUAGUGGAAGCGUCUGGAAAGGCGCGCGAUACAGGGUGACAGCCCCGUACACAAAAGCGCAUGUGCUGUGAGCUCGAUGAGUAGGGCGGGACACGUGGUAUCCUGUCUGAAUAUGGGGGGACCAUCCUCCAAGGCUAAAUACUCCUGACUGACCGAUAGUGAACCAGUACCGUGAGGGAAAGGCGAAAAGAACCCCGGCGAGGGGAGUGAAAAAGAACCUGAAACCGUGUACGUACAAGCAGUGGGAGCACCCUUUGGGGUGUGACUGCGUACCUUUUGUAUAAUGGGUCAGCGACUUAUAUUCUGUAGCAAGGUUAACCGAAUAGGGGAGCCGGAGGGAAACCGAGUCUUAAUUGGGCGUUAAGUUGCAGGGUAUAGACCCGAAACCCGGUGAUCUAGCCAUGGGCAGGUUGAAGGUUGGGUAACACUAACUGGAGGACCGAACCGACUAAUGUUGAAAAAUUAGCGGAUGACCUGUGGCUGGGGGUGAAAGGCCAAUCAAACCGGGAGAUAGCUGGUUCUCCCCGAAAGCUAUUUAGGUAGCGCCUCGUGAAUUCAUCUCCGGGGGUAGAGCACUGUUUCGGCUAGGGGGCCAUCCCGGCUUACCAACCCGAUGCAAACUGCGAAUACCGGAGAAUGUUAUCACGGGAGACACACGGCGGGUGCUAACGUCCGUCGUGAAGAGGGAAACAACCCAGACCGCCAGCUAAGGUCCCAAAGUCAUGGUUAAGUGGGAAACGAUGUGGGAAGGCCCAGACAGCCAGGAUGUUGGCUUAGAAGCAGCCAUCAUUUAAAGAAAGCGUAAUAGCUCACUGGUCGAGUCGGCCUGCGCGGAAGAUGUAACGGGGCUAAACCAUGCACCGAAGCUGCGGCAGCGACGCUUAUGCGUUGUUGGGUAGGGGAGCGUUCUGUAAGCCUGUGAAGGUGUGUCGUGAGGCAUGCUGGAGGUAUCAGAAGUGCGAAUGCUGACAUAAGUAACGAUAAAGCGGGUGAAAAGCCCGCUCGCCGGAAGACCAAGGGUUCCUGUCCAACGUUAAUCGGGGCAGGGUGAGUCGACCCCUAAGGCGAGGCCGAAAGGCGUAGUCGAUGGGAAACGGGUUAAUAUUCCCGUACUUGGUGUUACUGCGAAGGGGGGACGGAGAAGGCUAUGUUGGCCGGGCGACGGUUGUCCCGGUUUAAGCGUGUAGGUGUGUGUUCCAGGUAAAUCCGGUUCACUUUAACACUGAGGCGUGACGACGAGGCACUACGGUGCUGAAGCAACAAAUGCCCUGCUUCCAGGAAAAGCCUCUAAGCAUCAGGUAACAUCAAAUCGUACCCCAAACCGACACAGGUGGUCAGGUAGAGAAUACCAAGGCGCUUGAGAGAACUCGGGUGAAGGAACUAGGCAAAAUGGUGCCGUAACUUCGGGAGAAGGCACGCUGACACGUAGGUGAAGUGAUUUACUCAUGGAGCUGAAGUCAGUCGAAGAUACCAGCUGGCUGCAACUGUUUAUUAAAAACACAGCACUGUGCAAACACGAAAGUGGACGUAUACGGUGUGACGCCUGCCCGGUGCCGGAAGGUUAAUUGAUGGGGUCAGCGCAAGCGAAGCUCCUGAUCGAAGCCCCGGUAAACGGCGGCCGUAACUAUAACGGUCCUAAGGUAGCGAAAUUCCUUGUCGGGUAAGUUCCGACCUGCACGAAUGGCGUAAUGAUGGCCAGGCUGUCUCCACCCGAGACUCAGUGAAAUUGAACUCGCUGUGAAGAUGCAGUGUACCCGCGGCAAGACGGAAAGACCCCGUGAACCUUUACUAUAGCUUGACACUGAACAUUGAGCCUUGAUGUGUAGGAUAGGUGGGAGGCUUUGAAGCGUGGACGCCAGUCUGCGUGGAGCCGACCUUGAAAUACCACCCUUUAAUGUUUGAUGUUCUAACGUGGACCCGUAAUCCGGGUUGCGGACAGUGUCUGGUGGGUAGUUUGACUGGGGCGGUCUCCUCCUAAAGAGUAACGGAGGAGCACGAAGGUUGGCUAAUCCUGGUCGGACAUCAGGAGGUUAGUGCAAUGGCAUAAGCCAGCUUGACUGCGAGCGUGACGGCGCGAGCAGGUGCGAAAGCAGGUCAUAGUGAUCCGGUGGUUCUGAAUGGAAGGGCCAUCGCUCAACGGAUAAAAGGUACUCCGGGGAUAACAGGCUGAUACCGCCCAAGAGUUCAUAUCGACGGCGGUGUUUGGCACCUCGAUGUCGGCUCAUCACAUCCUGGGGCUGAAGUAGGUCCCAAGGGUAUGGCUGUUCGCCAUUUAAAGUGGUACGCGAGCUGGGUUUAGAACGUCGUGAGACAGUUCGGUCCCUAUCUGCCGUGGGCGCUGGAGAACUGAGGGGGCUGCUCCUAGUACGAGAGGACCGGAGUGGACGCAUCACUGGUGUUCGGGUUGUCAUGCCAAUGGCACUGCCCGGUAGCUAAAUGCGGAAGAGAUAAGUGCUGAAAGCAUCUAAGCACGAAACUUGCCCCGAGAUGAGUUCUCCCUGAGACUUAGAGUCUCCUGAAGGAACGUUGAAGACGACGACGUUGAUAGGCCGGGUGUGUAAGCGCAGCGAUGCGUUGAGCUAACCGGUACUAAUGAACCGUGAGGCUUAACCUU